GGAAUAUUGGGCAAUGGACGAGAGUCUGACCCAGCCAUGCCGCGUGCAGGAAGACGGCGUUCUGCGUUGUAAACUGCUUUUAUCUGGGACGAAAAGGCCCAUGCGUGGGACAUUGCCGGUACCAUAUGAAUAAGCACCGGCUCACUCCGUGCCCGCAGCCGCGGUAAUACGGAGGGUGCACGCGUUGUCCGGAAUUAUUGGUUUUCAAGGGUGCGUAGGCGGCUAUUUAAGUCAGCGGUGAAAGACAUCGGCUCAACCGAUGCAGUGCCAUUGAUACUGGAUAGCUUGAGUGUUGGAGGGGUACAUGGAAUUGAUGGUGUAGCGGUGAAAUGCAUAGAUACCAUCAGGAACACCGAUAGCGAAGGCAUUGUACUGGCCAACAACUGACGCUGAGGCACGAAAGCAUGGGGAGCGAAC
Molecule: ribosomal RNA, 417 nt
Filed under: uncultured bacterium
Lineage: Bacteria
Description: bacterial SSU rRNA
Rfam family: Bacterial small subunit ribosomal RNA
Source: RNAcentral